This is a non-coding RNA of Parelaphostrongylus tenuis, 71 nucleotides long. The record is from the annotation of a GenBank genome assembly. Lineage: Eukaryota; Metazoa; Nematoda; Chromadorea; Rhabditida; Metastrongylidae.
GCGUCGGUAUGCAAUGGUUAGCAUACGCUCCCGGAUAGAGUGAGAUCUGGGUUCGAAUACCGGCUGACGCA